GAACCUUAGAUUUCAACGGACAGGUUAGCAUUGUCUUCUACUUUCAGGUUCUAUUGGUUGUGUGUGGUUUGUCAACAUGUAGAAUAGUAUCGAUUGAAUUUCCAUGUCUUCAGAUCAUCUGAAUGAAAAGCUAGCAGCAGAUAUUGCUGUUCCAUUCAGGGAUUAAAGUGCAUCAAGCAAAUAACAUAUUCCCAAAAUUUUGGUUUAGAAUCAAAAUGAAAAUAUAGGGGAAAACCAUUAAAUUAAAAUUAUAUUUCACUCUAGAAGUUAUGAACGAAAGCUAUUCAAAUUUCCCAGAGUAUUAGUUGUUUUGAAUUAGGCCAAUAUCCUAUUUGGAAAAGCGGACUCGUUCAUGGUCCUAAAUGGUUAUUGGCCAUUAUCAUUGCUUGAGUAAUCACUAUUUCUGAUUUCUGAUAGCGUGGUACCUUGAUCUAGAGCUUAUGCAAUUUUUUUUGUCACUGUUUCUGCACAUGUAUUAGAGAUAAUAUUGUGAUGGCUAUGAUUUGAAUUUGCAUGUAAGAACAACAAAGUCCAUCAUUUGCAUGACCUUAUUGGAUCCAUACAAUGAAGCAAAUAACGUGUUAGCAUUCUUGUAUUCUUGUGCCUGAUUGAAUUUGUGUUGGCAAUCUGUAUUGCUUGGUUCAGCUCCGGCUGCUCACAUCCAAAAUGAUUUUGUGAAUUUGGCCAACCAGUUGCAUUCUUCACAUAAUGAUUAUGCUCCCCUUUGUUUGACUUAUGAUGGGCUACCAUCACACUUUUUAUAUUCUCUUUGAGAUUUAAAUAUUCAACCUUUGCGUGGAUGGACAUUUAUGUCUCAAUCUCACAUCUACAAUUUUUCCCUGACUGUUUCCUUCUCUCCCUCUCUCUUGUUUGUCUUUGUUUA
This 883-nucleotide unclassified non-coding RNA is filed under the name Hevea brasiliensis (rubber tree). Lineage: Eukaryota; Viridiplantae; Streptophyta; Magnoliopsida; Malpighiales; Euphorbiaceae. The record is from RNAcentral.